GAUGAACGCUGGCGGCGUGCCUAAUACAUGCAAGUCGAGCGAACGGACGAGAAGCUUGAUUCUUUGAUGUUAGCGGCGGACGGGUGAGUAACACGUGGAUAACCUACCUAUAAGACUGGGAUAACUUCGGGAAACCGGAGCUAAUACCGGAUGAUAUUUUGAACCGCAUGGUUCAAAAGUGAAAGACGGUCUUGCUGUCACUUAUAGAUGGAUCCGCGCUGCAUUAGCUAGUUGGUAAGGUAACGGCUUACCAAGGCAACGAUGCAUAGCCGACCUGAGAGGGUGAUAGGCCACACUGGAACUGAGACACGGUCCAGACUCCUACGGGAGGCAGCAGUAGGGAAUCUUCCGCAAAGGGCGAAAGCCUGACGGAGCAACGCCGCGUGAGUGAUGAAGGUCUUCGGAUCGUAAAACUCUGUUAUUAGGGAAGAACAUAUGUGUAAGUAACUGUGCACAUCUUGACGGUACCUAAUCAGAAAGCCACGGCUAACUACGUG
This 497-nucleotide ribosomal RNA is filed under the name uncultured bacterium. RNAcentral describes it as "partial 16S ribosomal RNA". It matches the Rfam family "Bacterial small subunit ribosomal RNA", at positions 28 to 507 of the family's 1533-position model. The record is from RNAcentral.